RNAcentral lists this non-coding RNA (95 nucleotides) under uncultured Butyricicoccus sp. RNAcentral's name for it is "Glycine riboswitch". It matches the Rfam family "Glycine riboswitch aptamer". Rfam says of the family: This family represents the bacterial glycine riboswitch. Glycine riboswitches usually consist of two metabolite-binding aptamers domains with similar structures in tandem. The record is from RNAcentral. Lineage: Bacteria; Bacillati; Bacillota; Clostridia; Eubacteriales; Butyricicoccaceae.
UGGCUCUGGAGAAGCUCAGAAAUUGAGUGCCGAAGGUGCAAGGCGAUGGGGCAGGCCCCGCCGCUAAUCUCUCAGGCAAAAGGACAGAGUUGGAA